This 465-nucleotide ribosomal RNA is filed under the name uncultured Weissella sp. Its description in RNAcentral is "bacterial SSU rRNA". It matches the Rfam family "Bacterial small subunit ribosomal RNA", at positions 338 to 795 of the family's 1533-position model. Lineage: Bacteria; Bacillati; Bacillota; Bacilli; Lactobacillales; Lactobacillaceae. The record is from RNAcentral.
CCUACGGGUGGCUGCAGUAGGGAAUCUUCCACAAUGGACGAAAGUCUGAUGGAGCAACGCCGCGUGUGUGAUGAAGGUUUUCGGCUCGUAAAACACUGUUGUAAGAGAAGAAUGACAUUGAGAGUAACUGUUCAGUGUGUGACGGUAUCUUACCAGAAAGGAACGGCUAAAUACGUGCCAGCAGCCGCGGUAAUACGUAUGUUCCAAGCGUUAUCCGGAUUUAUUGAGCGUAAAGCGAGCGCAGAAGGUUGUGUAAGUACGCAGUGAAAGCCCACAGCGUAACUGUGGAAUUGCUUUGGAAACUGGCUAACUUGAGUGCAGUAGAGUAGAGUGGAACUCCAUGUGUAGCGGUGAAAUGCGUAGAUAUAUGGAAGAACAACAGUGGCGAAGGCGGCUCUCUGGACUGUAACUGACGUUGAGGCUCGAAAGUGUGGGUAGCAAACAGGAUUAGAUACCCGAGUAGUC